UAAUAAUAAUAAUAAUAAUAAAAUGUAGAAUAAAAACAAGCGCACAUGGGUUGAUAGUGUCAAUCCAUUAACCUGUCAAAAAGUAGAAUAAAAACAAGUGCACAUGGGUUGAAAAGUGAAAAAAAGAGAGAGAGAACAGCGUGUGUAAAUAAUAAUAGUAAUACCCAAACCACGAAGAGCUGUCUUCCAACACCUCCUAGGCCAACAUUAAUGUCAGAGACAAAACCAAGCCCACAACCUGCUACAAGCAAGAUAAUAUUACUAGUGGGUUGGACCAUCUGGAAUUGCUCACACCAACGUCAACAAGAUCAGCAGUUCUAGCGAAAAAAUAUUUGAAACCAAGAAGUAGUGUUGCUGCUGAUUCUGCUUCUGAUGUGCCACUAAAGGACGACGACAGCCUCAUGAGCUGCCCUGAACCAACAAAGCCCAGAGUACACAGCCAAAUUCUACAAAAUGGCACAGAGA
This is a non-coding RNA of Camellia sinensis, 465 nucleotides long. NCBI's taxonomy places the organism in Eukaryota, Viridiplantae, Streptophyta, Magnoliopsida, Ericales, Theaceae. The record is from RefSeq and is a predicted model, not a curated record.